Long non-coding RNA from Orcinus orca (killer whale), 1393 nucleotides. RefSeq lists it as uncharacterized. Lineage: Eukaryota; Metazoa; Chordata; Mammalia; Artiodactyla; Delphinidae. The record is from RefSeq and is a predicted model, not a curated record. The transcript is spliced from 2 exons.
GGCAGCCCAUCAGUGGCAUUCCUAGUCCUCAAGAGGCACAUCUGUGUGGGUUAAAUCCUAAGUGAAAACACUGAGUCAAAAGGAAGACCGCAGUACCUGCUGCAUGCACCUCAGUUCCCUGCAGGAAAGAAUCUGCUUUCUGGGCAGACUCACUCCAGCUGGAGAUGCCGAUAAAACUGGAGUGGAGGGCUUCCCUGACACCAGCUGGGAGCUCAGAAUUUACUAGACUUAAGAGAGGAGGGGGAGUUUAUUGGUUUGCUUGCUCUCUCUCUCUUUUUUUUUUUUAACCAUUAUUAUUUAAAAAUUUUUUAAUUUUAAUAAUUUUUUUUUAAUUUAUUUUUUCUUUCUUUUUUUCUCCCUUUUCUUCUGAGCCAUAUGGCUGACAGGGUCUUGGUGCUCCAGCCUGGUAUCAGGUCUGAGCCUCCAAGGUGGGAGGGCCGAGUCCAGGACACUGGACCACCAGAGACCUCCCGGCCCCACGUAAUAUCAAUUGGCGAGAGCGAUCCCAGAGAGCUCCGUCUCAACACUAAGGCCCAGCUCCACCCAACAGCCAGCAAGCUCCAGUGCUGGACACCCCAUGCCAAACAACUAGCAAGACAGGAACACAACCCCACCCAUUAGCAGAGAGGCUGCCUAAAAUCAUACUAAGUUCACAGACACCCCAAAUCACACCACCGGACACGGCCCUGCCCACCAGAAAGACACGGUCCAGGCCCACCCACCAGAACACAGGCACCAGUCCCCUCCACCAGGAAGCCUACACAAGCCACUGAACCAAACUCACCCACUGGGGCAGACACCAGUAACAAUGGGAACUACGAACCUGCAGCCUAUGAAAAGGAGACCCCAAACACAGUAAGUUCAACAAAAUGGGACAACAGAGAAAUAUGCAGCAGAUGAAGGAGCAAGGUGAAAACCCACGAGACCAAACAAAUGAAGAGAAAACAGGCAGUCUACCUGAAAAAGAAUUCAGAGUAAUGAUAGUACAGAUGAUCCAAAAUCUUGGAAACAGAAUGGAGAAAAUACAAGAAGCGUUUAACAAGGACCUAGAAGAGCUAAAGGGCAAACAAACAAUGAUGAACAACACAAUAAAUGAAAUUAAAAAUUCCCUAGAAGGAAUAAAUAGCAGAAUAACUGAGGCAGAACAACGGAUAAGUGACCUGGAAGAUAAAACAGUGGAAAUAACUAACGCAGAGCAGAAUAAAGAAAAAAGAACGAAAGAAUUGAGGACAGUCACAGAGACCUCUGGGACAUCAUUAAACACACCAAUAUUCGAAUUACAGGGUUCCCAGAAAAAGAAGAGAAAAAGAAAGGGGUCUGAGAAAAUAUUUGAAGAGAUUAUAGUUGAAAACUUCCCUAACAUGGGAAAGGAAAGAGUCAAUCAAGUCCAGUA